GAAACUCAGAAAAUAUCAUUCCAACGCCUUCACCCGUUACAUACAAAUCCUCAUGCCUCGAGUUAAAUAUUCAAACCAGCACAGUCCAAUGGUGGCCUUCUGCCCCGCUUUACUAUCUGGGCCCGCGAUUUCUGCUAAGGAUUGAGCGUAAAGAGUGGACGCCUAUUAUUCCGUAUAUUGACAAGUCGGUCGACAUGAUAUGGAUAUGUUGUUUUGUGAGCGAAGCGUGACUAUAGCAGGGGAUCUGCUGCUGCUCGCGGUAGUCCAUGGUGUGGCGUGAUUUUCUUCAUCUUCUUGUUGGACCGCACCCGCAGCUUAUAAAAGAGUAUAAUAUAUGUUGCUUGCUUAGUUACAAAGAUGGUAUCACAUAUCUUAU
Molecule: small RNA, 376 nt
Filed under: Cryptococcus neoformans H99
Lineage: Eukaryota; Fungi; Basidiomycota; Tremellomycetes; Tremellales; Cryptococcaceae
Description: Cryptococcus neoformans var. grubii H99 hypothetical RNA
Source: RNAcentral